UGGAUACAUCUCCAUGUGUGGAGGUACUGGCUCCACCACUAUCACUAGCAGGUCUACUGGACUGAGUGGAUACAUCUCCACCACUAUCAUUAACAGGUCUACUGGACUGAGUGGAUACAUCUCCAUGUGUGGAGGUACUGGCUCCACCACUAUCACUAGCAGGUCUACUGGACUGAGUGGAUACAUCUCCACCACUAUCACUAGCAGGUCUACUGGACUGAGUGGAUACAUCUCCAUGUGUGGAGGUACUGGCUCCACCACUAUCACUAGCAGGUCUACCUGACUGAGUGGAUACAUCUCCACCACUAUCACUAGCAGGCCUACUGGACUGAGUGGGUACUGGCUCCACCACUAUCACUAGCAGGUCUACUGGACUGACUGGACACAUCUCCACCACUAUCACUAGCAGGUCUACUGGACUGAGUGGAUACAUCCCCACCACUAUCACUAGCAGGUCUACUGGACUGAGUGGUUACAUCCCCACCACUAUCACUAGCAGGUCUACUGGACUGAGUGGAUACAUCUCCACCACUAUCACUAGCAGGUCUACUGGACUGAGUGGAUACAUCUCCACCACUAUCACUAGCAGGUCUACUGGACUGAGUGGAUACAUCUCCACCACUAUCACUAGCAGGUCUACUGGACUGAGUGGAUACAUCUCCACCACUAUCACUACCAGGUCUACUGGACUGAGUGGAUACAUCUCCACCACUAUCACUAGCAGGCCUACUGGACUGAGUGGAUACAUCUCCAUGUGUGGAGGUACUGGCUCCACCACUAUCACUAGCAGGUCUACUGGACUGAGUGGAUACAUCUCCACCACUAUCACUAGCAGGUCUACUGGACUGAGUGGAUACAUCUCCAUGUGUGGAGGUACUGGCUCCACCACUAUCACUAGCAGGUCUACUGGACUGACUGGACACAUCUCCACCACUAUCAUUAACAGGUCUACUGGACUGAGUGGAUACAUCUCCAUGUGUGGAGGUACUGGCUCCACCACUAUCACUAGCAGGUCUACUGGACUGAGUGGAUACAUCUCCACCACUAUCACUAGCAGGUCUACUGGACUGAGUGGAUACAUCCCCACCACUAUCACUAGCAGGUCUACUGGACUGAGUGGUUACAUCCCCACCACUAUCACUAGCAGGUCUACUGGACUGAGUGGAUACAUCUCCACCACUAUCACUAGCAGGUCUACUGGACUGAGUGGAUACAUCUCCACCACUAUCACUAGCAGGUCUACUGGACUGAGUGGAUACAUCUCCACCACUAUCACUAGCAGGCCUACUGGACUAAGUGGAUACAUCUCCAUGUGUGGAG
RNAcentral lists this long non-coding RNA (1320 nucleotides) under Salmo salar (Atlantic salmon). RNAcentral describes it as "lncRNA (ENSSSAG00000109046.1)". The record is from RNAcentral. Lineage: Eukaryota; Metazoa; Chordata; Actinopteri; Salmoniformes; Salmonidae.